GGUGAAACCCCUGUCUGAAAAAAAAAAAAAAAAAAAUACAGUAAAAAUUAUUAUGGCCCCUGUCCAAGGAUGACACACAAAUUUGUAAAAUGUUUCAUAGUUUU
Molecule: small nuclear RNA, 104 nt
Organism: Papio anubis (olive baboon)
Lineage: Eukaryota; Metazoa; Chordata; Mammalia; Primates; Cercopithecidae
Source: Ensembl